Molecule: ribosomal RNA, 381 nt
Filed under: uncultured eukaryote
Lineage: Eukaryota
Description: partial 18S ribosomal RNA
Rfam family: Eukaryotic small subunit ribosomal RNA
Source: RNAcentral
CAAUAGCGUAUAUUAAAGCUGUUGCGGUUAAAAAGCUCGUAGUUGGAUUUCUGUCAAGGACAACUGGUCCGCCCUCCGGGUGAGCACAUAGUUUGGUCUUGACAUCUUGCUGGAAGCUGUUGCUGCACUUGGCUGUGUGGCGCAGUGUUCAGCACUUUCACUUUGAGGAAAUUGGAGUGUUUCAAGCAGGCACAUGCCUUUGGACACAGUAGCAUGGAAUAAUUAGAUUGGGCUUUUGCUCCAAUUUGUCGGUUUCUGGAGCUGAGGUGAGUAUUAAUGGGGAUUGUUGGGGGCAUCCGAAUUUAGCCGUCGGAGGUGAAAUUCUUGGAUCUGCUAAAGACGGACAACUGCGAAAGCGUUUGCCCAGGAUGUUUUCAUUGA